UACGAAGGGGGCGAGCGUUGUUCGGAUUUACUGGGCGUAAAGGGCUCGUAGGCGGCCAACUAAGUCAGACGUGAAAUCCCUCGGCUUAACCGGGGAACUGCGUCUGAUACUGGAUGGCUUGAGUUUGGGAGAGGGAUGCGGAAUUCCAGGUGUAGCGGUGAAAUUCGUAGAUAUUGGGAAGAACACCGGUGGCGAAGGCGGCUCACUGGCUCGUAACUGACGCUCAUGCACGACAGCGUGGGGAUCAAACAGG
Molecule: ribosomal RNA, 253 nt
Filed under: uncultured bacterium
Lineage: Bacteria
Description: partial 16S ribosomal RNA
Rfam family: Bacterial small subunit ribosomal RNA
Source: RNAcentral